UCUUAGCGGCGGACGGGUGAGUAAUGCUUAGGAAUCUGCCUAUUAGUGGGGGACAACAUUUCGAAAGGAAUGCUAAUACCGCAUACGUCCUACGGGAGAAAGCAGGGGAUCUUCGGACCUUGCGCUAAUAGAUGAGCCUAAGUCGGAUUAGCUAGUUGGUGGGGUAAAGGCCUACCAAGGCGACGAUCUGUAGCGGGUCUGAGAGGAUGAUCCGCCACACUGGGACUGAGACACGGCCCAGACUCCUACGGGAGGCAGCAGUGGGGAAUAUUGGACAAUGGGCGCAAGCCUGAUCCAGCCAUGCCGCGUGUGUGAAGAAGGCCUUAUGGUUGUAAAGCACUUUAAGCGAGGAGGAGGCUACUGAAGUUAAUACCUUCAGAUAGUGGACGUUACUCGCAGAAUAAGCACCGGCUAACUCUGUGCCAGCAGCCGCGGUAAUACAGAGGGUGCAAGCGUUAAUCGGAUUUACUGGGCGUAAAGCGCGCGUAGGCGGCUAAUUAAGUCAAAUGUGAAAUCCCCGAGCUUAACUUGGGAAUUGCAUUCGAUACUGGUUAGCUAGAGUGUGGGAGAGGAUGGUAGAAUUCCAGGUGUAGCGGUGAAAUGCGUAGAGAUCUGG
Molecule: ribosomal RNA, 616 nt
Filed under: Acinetobacter calcoaceticus
Lineage: Bacteria; Pseudomonadati; Pseudomonadota; Gammaproteobacteria; Moraxellales; Moraxellaceae
Description: bacterial SSU rRNA
Rfam family: Bacterial small subunit ribosomal RNA
Source: RNAcentral